UGCGUAGGCGGUUCGGUAAGUUUGGUGUGAAAUCUCCCGGCUUAACUGGGAGGGUGCGCCGAAAACUGCCGGGCUAGAGUGUGGGAGAGGAAAGCGGAAUUCCUGGUGUAGCGGUGAAAUGCGUAGAUAUCAGGAGGAACACCUGCGGUGUAGACGGCUUUCUGGACCACUACUGACGCUGAGGCACGAAAGCGUGGGGAGCAAACAGGAUUAGAUACCCUGGUAGUCCACGCCCUAAACGAUGCAGACUUGGUGUUAGCCCUUCAUUGGGUUAGUGCCGCAGCUAACGCGGUAAGUCUGCCGCCUGGGGAGUACCGGUCGCGAAGGCUGAA
This 332-nucleotide ribosomal RNA is filed under the name uncultured bacterium. RNAcentral describes it as "bacterial SSU rRNA". It matches the Rfam family "Bacterial small subunit ribosomal RNA", at positions 568 to 898 of the family's 1533-position model. The record is from RNAcentral.